UAGGGAAUCUUCCGCAAUGGGCGAAAGCUUGACGGAGCAACGCCGCGUGAGUGAUGAAGGUCUUCGGAUCGUAAAACUCUGUUAUUAGGGAAGAACAAAUGUGUAAGUAACUAUGCACGUCUUGACGGUACCUAAUCAGAAAGCCACGGCUAACUACGUGCCAGCAGCCGCGGUAAUACGUAGGUGGCAAGCGUUAUCCGGAAUUAUUGGGCGUAAAGCGCGCGUAGGCGGUUUUUUAAGUCUGAUGUGAAAGCCCACGGCUCAACCGAGGAGGGUCAUUGGAAACUGGAAAACUUGAGUGCAGAAGAGGAAAGUGGAAUUCCAUGUGUAGCGGUGAAAUGCGCAGAGAUAUGGAGGAACACCAGUGGCGAAGGCGACUUUCUGGUCUGUAACUGACGCUGAUGUGCGAAAGCGUGGGGAUCAAACAGG
This 429-nucleotide ribosomal RNA is filed under the name Actinomycetes bacterium. Its description in RNAcentral is "Actinobacteria bacterium partial 16S ribosomal RNA". It matches the Rfam family "Bacterial small subunit ribosomal RNA", at positions 355 to 776 of the family's 1533-position model. Lineage: Bacteria; Bacillati; Actinomycetota; Actinomycetes. The record is from RNAcentral.